RNAcentral lists this long non-coding RNA (832 nucleotides) under Felis catus (domestic cat). RNAcentral's name for it is "lncRNA (ENSFCAG00000047147.1)". The record is from RNAcentral. Lineage: Eukaryota; Metazoa; Chordata; Mammalia; Carnivora; Felidae.
CGCGGGGCCGCGGGGCCGCGGGGCCGCGGGGCCGCGGGGCCGCGGGGCCGCGGGGCCGCGGGGCCGCGGGGUCAGAUACGGCCUCUGGGGGGCGACCCAACAGCGAGGGGUGCAGGCCCAGGAGGCUGCAGGCAUCCGAGGUGAGGGGCGGGGCAGGGGUGACCCAGGAUCCAUGGGGACACUGGGGGGCACCGGCGGGCGGGGGAGCUGCCUGCACAAGGUGUCACGAAGAGCCGUCCGCUUGCGGGCGAAUCCCUGGACUCUGUAGAAAAGUCAGCGGGGUGUCCUAGCUUGCGACCCCUCGGCGGCCAGCGCGCCCUUCGCCCCAGGCUCGCGAGGGCCACCGGGCCGGGUGACAGAGAACGGGCGCGCAGCGGGCCACGCACGGGCUCCAGAAAAGUCGACGAGGGCAAAGGGCGAGGCCAACGGUCUGGCCCCGCGGGACCCGGUAGCCUCUGGCCGCGCGCACCGGGCUGCAGUUGGAGGGACCAGGCGUCGCCUCGCUCGGUGGGCCGGCCACGACCGCGGCGUGGGCGCCCAACCGCCGCCUCAGCGCCCUGGGUCCUCCGCCCUUUCCCUUGGGUCCCCGAGGGCGUCGCCUGUCGCACGCGAGUCCCGGCAGCCGGGACCCUCCGAUGGGGGACCGGGCUCAGCUGCGGGGCCAGCCAGAGAGCAACAGCUGUCAGCACGGCACCGUCAGGCUUUUCUUUCCAAUGAAGACGCACCGCCGACCACACAGCUGUCUGUGAAUGGCCCCGCGGGUACAAGGACAGGCGAUACAUGGCAGGUCAAUUCUUCCUCCCUCGUGGAGUUAAAGCCGCCAAAUAUGUAA